This is a long non-coding RNA of Malania oleifera, 514 nucleotides long. RefSeq lists it as uncharacterized. Lineage: Eukaryota; Viridiplantae; Streptophyta; Magnoliopsida; Santalales; Ximeniaceae. The transcript is spliced from 2 exons. The record is from RefSeq and is a predicted model, not a curated record.
AGUUCAUACAUAUUCUCCUUAGCUCACUAAUUAAUCAACCAGGGAAUUAUAGAGAAUGAUCAGAGAGGUAGAAGCAGUGGUUAAUGGAGACGUUGGGAUAUAUAUAUCUUACUAUGUUCCUCCCUCCCCUUCCCCCUCUCCUCCCACUCCUCCUUUCUCUCUCUCCUAUGCCAUGGGUCUCAUUCUCAAGCUCUGGUUUAAGAGGGUAGUUCCACACAGUGGAAUUUAAAAAUAUCGUAGCAAAGUCUAUCGUACUAAGACCAACGAAGUAUGAUUUCAAAAUCAAGUGGAACUAGUUGUCAAAUCUUAGUUUUAAAGCUCCUGCAUUGUAUUAAGUUUCCUUAGCUCAUGUCGAGGCCAUCAAAUCACUUCUCAUUUUAGAUGAAAAUCCUUUUUAGACAUUUUCUUAAUCUUUUCGUUUCAUGAAUGUCUAUCAUGUUCAAAAAAUUAUGGAUGGUGUAAUUUCAUUCUUAUCAAUGCAUAUAUAGUAAAAUUAUAAACUACUUCUAACAAA